This 317-nucleotide ribosomal RNA is filed under the name uncultured bacterium. RNAcentral describes it as "bacterial SSU rRNA". It matches the Rfam family "Bacterial small subunit ribosomal RNA", at positions 28 to 339 of the family's 1533-position model. The record is from RNAcentral.
GAUGAACGCUAGCGAAAUGCCUAACACAUGCAAGUCGAACGGACCUUGCGUCGUAGCAAUACGUAGUAAGGUUAGUGGCAAACGAGCGAGUAACGCGUGCUUAACCUGCCCCGAAGUUGGGUAUAACUACAGAGAUGUAGCUAAUUCCCAAUAUGCUCACGAUGGUGAAAUCCCAAUGGGAGGAAAGAUUUAUCGCGUUCGGAGGGGGGUGCGUCCUAUCAGAUAGUUGGUGAGGUAACGGCUUACCAAGUCUAUGACGGGUAACCGGUCUGAGAUGAUGAACGGCCACAUUGGAACUGAGACACGGUCCAGACUCC